RNAcentral lists this ribosomal RNA (556 nucleotides) under Alternaria alternata. RNAcentral's name for it is "eukaryotic LSU rRNA". The stretch from base 202 to 355 matches the Rfam family "5.8S ribosomal RNA". Lineage: Eukaryota; Fungi; Ascomycota; Dothideomycetes; Pleosporales; Pleosporaceae. The record is from RNAcentral.
AAGGGGUCUCCGUAGGUGACCUGCGGAGGGUCAUUACACAAAUAUGAAGGCGGGCUGGAACCUCUCGGGGUUACAGCCUUGCUGAAUUAUUCACCCUUGUCUUUUGCGUACUUCUUGUUUCCUUGGUGGGUUCGCCCACCACUAGGACAAACAUAAACCUUUUGUAAUUGCAAUCAGCGUCAGUAACAAAUUAAUAAUUACAACUUUCAACAACGGAUCUCUUGGUUCUGGCAUCGAUGAAGAACGCAGCGAAAUGCGAUAAGUAGUGUGAAUUGCAGAAUUCAGUGAAUCAUCGAAUCUUUGAACGCACAUUGCGCCCUUUGGUAUUCCAAAGGGCAUGCCUGUUCGAGCGUCAUUUGUACCCUCAAGCUUUGCUUGGUGUUGGGCGUCUUGUCUCUAGCUUUGCUGGAGACUCGCCUUAAAGUAAUUGGCAGCCGGCCUACUGGUUUCGGAGCGCAGCACAAGUCGCACUCUCUAUCAGCAAAGGUCUAGCAUCCAUUAAGCCUUUUUUUCAACUUUUGACCUCGGAUCAGGUAGGGAUACCCGCUGAACUUAA